AUGACCUAUAGGCGAAGGGUGACGACGCAGAUGAGAUGGAGGUGCAGCAGCAUACGGGAGAGGGUCACCAGCCAGCGUCGUUCUGUGCUGGUGAGGUCGGGCUCCACCAUUCCUGUCCGUCGUCCUUACGCGUCACCGGCGCUGCAGUUGCGCGGGGUGUGGGGAAAGCAAGAGGGAGGGGAUGAGUGGGAGGCGCGAGGACGAAGGCGCUCCGGCGGCGGGGCCCGCCAGCCAUGCGGUGCUGGUCGUGGAGUACUCCAGAUCCCCUUUCGCUCGCUGCCACCACGGCCUUUCUCGCCAUCGACCUCCCAGGCGAUUCUCUCCCCAAAUUGUGCCUACAUGGCCAGAUUUAUUCAAGCCCCAGGUGAAGACACCUCCCUCACUGUCCAAGCGUGCUUCUCUACAUGGGCGGCGUCACCACGACCAGUUUGCCGAUUCAAGCCAAGGUGUAUUCACCUCAUCAUACCAUCUGUUCUAAUCAAGGCCACAGUCACUGCCCGGAAGGAGAUGUCGGGGUUGUCAUUGACUGGGAGGAGACAAGGAGCAGGAGACAGCAGGAGAGGCAAUUUGCGUAGCGCAUACUGCUCUUUGAACAAGCAGUUGAUGUCUUCACAAAAACUGCUCAAAAUCAACUAUGUGUUGUGGAGAAUGAUAUAUACAUUUAUAGAGUAUGUCCUGCUCGAGAACGGCGGCAAUGGAUGCCGGUGCUCCUCUUCAUCUUUCCCGACCUGCAAGGAUGUAAGCAUCCAGUACGGGACUGCACCAGCGCCGGUGGGUGUGUCCGGGGCGCCAGCUCGUCAUCGUCCACACCGCGCUGGAGCAGACACGCCUCUGUACAGCUCUCACGCCCGUAGGAAAAGUUCAAGCUCAUACGACGAUGCUGUUGUUUUUGACCUCCAAGGACGCGUGCCGGCAUUCGGCAACGCUAUUGUUGCUUUGGAAAUGCUAUUGGAUCUUAUAAAGAUUUUUGGACCUAUUAUUCAUUCGACAUUGUCAGCUAGCUCACUCGUUGGAGUAGAUCUUUACGCCGGAAAGAGAUCAGCGGGGGCUGAGUCCAGGAGGAUAUGA
This 1068-nucleotide ribosomal RNA is filed under the name Triticum aestivum (bread wheat). RNAcentral's name for it is "partial small subunit ribosomal RNA". The record is from RNAcentral. Lineage: Eukaryota; Viridiplantae; Streptophyta; Magnoliopsida; Poales; Poaceae.